Molecule: ribosomal RNA, 237 nt
Filed under: uncultured Glomus
Lineage: Eukaryota; Fungi; Glomeromycota; Glomeromycetes; Glomerales; Glomeraceae
Description: partial small subunit ribosomal RNA
Rfam family: Eukaryotic small subunit ribosomal RNA (bases 46-237)
Source: RNAcentral
AGAUCAAAUUGUUGGUCGUGCCUUGGUACGUACUGACAUUAUUGGUUUCUCCCUUCUGAAGAACCAUGAUGUCAUUAAUUUGGUGUCAUGGGGAAUCAGGACUGUUACUUUGAAAAAAUUAGAGUGUUUAAAGCAGGCUCGCGCUUGAAUACAUUAGCAUGGAAUAAUGAAAUAGGACGUUUAAUUCUAUUUUGUUGGUUUCUAGGAUUGACGUAAUGAUUAAUAGGGAUAGUUGGG